AUUGAACGCUGGCGGCAUGCCUUACACAUGCAAGUCGAACGGUAACAGGUCUUCGGAUGCUGACGAGUGGCGAACGGGUGAGUAAUACAUCGGAACGUGCCCGAUCGUGGGGGAUAACGAAGCGAAAGCUUUGCUAAUACCGCAUACGAUCUACGGAUGAAAGCGGGGGAUCUUCGGACCUCGCGCGGACGGAGCGGCCGAUGGCAGAUUAGGUAGUUGAUGGGAUAAAAGCUUACCAAGCCGACGAUCUGUAGCUGGUCUGAGAGGAUGAUCAGCCACACUGGGACUGGGACACGGCCCAGACUCCUACGGGAGGCAGCAGUGGGGAAUUUUGGACAAUGGGCGCAAGCCUGAUCCAGCCAUGCCGCGUGCAGGAUGAAGGCCUUCGGGUUGUAAACUGCUUUUGUACGGAACGAAAAGGUGCCUUCUAAUAAAGGGCGCUCAUGACGGUACCGUAAGAAUAAGCACCGGCUAACUACGUG
RNAcentral lists this ribosomal RNA (482 nucleotides) under uncultured bacterium. RNAcentral describes it as "partial 16S ribosomal RNA". It matches the Rfam family "Bacterial small subunit ribosomal RNA", at positions 30 to 507 of the family's 1533-position model. The record is from RNAcentral.